UCCACAGGUGACAUGGAGAAUUUCUCAAG
This 29-nucleotide non-coding RNA is filed under the name Rattus norvegicus (Norway rat). The record is from RNAcentral. Lineage: Eukaryota; Metazoa; Chordata; Mammalia; Rodentia; Muridae.